RNAcentral lists this long non-coding RNA (2572 nucleotides) under Delphinapterus leucas (beluga whale). Its description in RNAcentral is "lncRNA (ENSDLEG00000020881.1)". Lineage: Eukaryota; Metazoa; Chordata; Mammalia; Artiodactyla; Monodontidae. The record is from RNAcentral.
CUUAACCGGCUCAAGCUCGAGCUAGACACUGCCGACUUCAAGUGCCUGAGAAACAACUUGGGCAAACAUCUUAUUGUUUAGGCCACUUGGAGGACAUGCAAGUUUUUUUGUAGCAACAGUUAAAGCAAGCUUGAUGCUGACGUCAGUACAGUUCAUUAUUUAUUAAGCAAGUUAUAGCUUAAUGGAUCUGAUGACUGCCCUCAGUUUCAAAAGGAGUGGACCCUCUUCUCACUGAUGCCAUGGACCAGCCCUGAGACAGACGGAGAUGGAGCUAAGGAAACAGGCAGUGGUGCCUCGUGACCGGCUAGUGGACGGUCAAGGGUUUCGUGGUUCACGGCGCAACGGCUGUUGGUGCAUAUUCUAUAAGAUGACCUCAGCGCAGGAGGAGAGGAACCAUCGGUUAACUAUGAAGGGACAGCUCGAGGAAUGCUGGAAUGUCCGCGUCAGCAUCGGCCUGAUCCGGCAGUUUGACGUGUGUCGAUGGAUGUCCCCUCUGUUGUUACGCGUGUAAGUGCCUUGAAACGGUGAUUGGCCCCAGCCGGAUAGGGCUCCUUAGGAAAGGUCAGCUUGCAUUAGCUUUCGAAGGAGUGACAUUUUAAGGAUCAGAGUGUACGGAGAGAGAGAAGAAUGUGUCUCUUGUUGAGUGAAUUAAGGGGAUGGCAGGACAAUUGACCUUUGAUGGCUGGAUGGGGAGAUGAACAUGAUUCCAGUAGGGUGUUUUUUGGGGGGACAUUGACCCUGAAGAUGGUUGACUGCGUGUACCCCAUCUGAGACUGACGGCAAUGUGGAGUUUAAAUGGCCAGGAGCAUUUUAGGAAAGGAGCCCACAGAAGUUGGGGCAGUUGGCUGUUGUGAAGGGGCCGGGCCUCUGAGGUUCCAGGGCCAGAAACCCAGGUUAGGGACACAAUAGGGACACUGAGAGGAGGCAUAUAUGUGGGAGAAAUGAGGAUUGAGUAACUCCUUCACUUACAGUCGUUCUACGAACGACAAGCGCGACUCAAAUCUUUGGUUCCAGGAGGCUGAAUUUAGUGGCGUUGCCAUAAUAACCAUGGAAUGAGAGGAUGACACGAAGCCUGCCUGGGGGACAGGAGUCUUUCCCCGGGAUGUGGGUGGCUUGUAAGUUCCGCCUUGGAGGAGGAACAGAAUUUCCCAUUUUUUUAGGUAGAUAACGCCUGGGACUCCUGGGGAUCGGACCAGCAGGAUGUGAAGCUGGGCAUCGUGCUGUGCUGAGGACUUUGGACUUAAGCCUGAAGGUAAGGAAGGGAGAGUUAAGCAAAGAAUGGGUAUCCAUCCUUUGGAAGGGCUGUUCCCGUUGGUGGUAUGAAAAAGUGUUUGGACGGAAGCAGCUGGGAGCAGGAGGCCGGGUAGGAUCCGCUGUGCUCAUUCAGGAAAGAGAAAGCAGGAGUCGUGGGAGAAACGAGCCUCUGGAGGCUGUAGGUGUGCCCAGCAGGACGUGGUGCCCUGUUGUACUUGAAGGAGGAGGAGAGGGAACUCACCUGCCAUGCCUUCCUGGUUUCCAAUUUUGGCACUAGGCAAGCUCCUCCCUCAGAAGGAGGGGAAGUUUGGGGUGGAAAGAACGGAUUUAGUUCAAGACUGGUUGGAUUGGAAGUGUUGGCGGAAAUGCAGCUAAGAGAAGGGAGUGGGUCGUGAGAGAGAUGUAGGGCAUAAGUCACGGAAGAGGGUGCUAUCAUUCAGGAAGGUGGCUGCUCGUCAUAACGUGGAGGGGGUGGACCAUCUUCCCUGGUCAUUUUUUUCCCUGUAACUGAGCCCAAGAGGCACAGGCCCCGGAGUGCCGUGGGUUUGUCCUGAAUCCAGCCAAGAGGAAGAAAUGGCAAAUAAAUACGACAGGAAGCAAAGGCCAGGGUAGGUAAGAGAGGAGCACACGAGUCUAUCUGCCAAGAGCUGGGAGCUGUGAUCUCCCCGAGGGGUGCCAAGUGCAGGGGAAGAAGGCGGGGCCUCUGUGAGCCAGAGAUGCUAAUGCUAUUCUGGGUUGGCCGGCAGAAAUGGGGGCCCCUUCAGCCCUCUUCCGGGGUUCAGCCCCGCCCCACCGUUGUCAUCACUAUAGGCUGGGACCCGGGAGGCCGGGCUCCUUGGUGCGGCCGCUGUGAAGGCUGGCCAGAACUUCAGGGCAGCGGACAGGCGUGACGGAGACACCUGGGUCCCUGGGAUGCACGGGGCACAGGAGGCUGGAAGGGAGAGUGGACAGUGGCUCCGAACAUCUCAGUUCCCUGAAAGAUGUUGGGCUGCAGGAGAUGAGGAGUAGAAAAUACUGGACUGGGGAGAAAGCGCUGAAGCCCUGGGAAGGGUGGCGGGAGGGGAAGCUACGGGUGGGCCAGGGAAGGCUGGGCGCAGGGCUCCGGGCCAAGGAGAGGCAGAGGCCCUGACGCUCCUCUCCAGGCUGUGCGUCCAUCCUCCCCCAGGCCCCGACACGAGCCACUGGCCCACGUCAAACUGGACCGCCCCACAGGAGUUUGUAAUCCUGGGUUUCUCCGGGCAGCCCCUGGGGCCCCGGGUGCUGCCCUUUGCCCUCCACCUGCCCCUCUGUUUGCCACGCUGGCAGGAAGCCUGCUGAU